CAUAGUUUGCAAUGGUGUUUGAGAGAUGGCUUGCGCUUCUUGCAUCUGGUUCAUUUCUAGCUCUUCCAAUCUCCUUUCCAUAGCUGCAAUUUCUGCCUUCAUGUUCAUACCAUCAUUCAAAAUAUACAUCUCACCCUUAGCUUUAGGUUGAGACUUCAUUCUCCCCAUAUCUCGAGCAUUUGGUUCAUCCCAUCCUCUUGAGACUUCAGCCACAUAACUCAUGAAGUUCAUAGCUUCCUCUGCUAUGGUAUUCAAUAUGGCAUGCACAACUAGUAAAUUGUGAAUUAAAAACAGAGAACACAAAAGAAAACAAAAGAAAAACAAUUCAAAGAAAGAAAAUUAAGGUAAACUAAAAACUAAAUAAAAGGUAUACUAAAACAUGAACAAUAAAGAAAUAAAAAGAGUUAGUUAAAGGAAAAGAAAAGUCACCAAACUUGUGAUGAAGAUCACAAGUACUCUAGAAAGGUGAUAUCACUGUAAAGUGGCACCACCCCC
RNAcentral lists this long non-coding RNA (495 nucleotides) under Vitis vinifera (wine grape). RNAcentral describes it as "long non-coding RNA (VVIN_LNC008183)". Lineage: Eukaryota; Viridiplantae; Streptophyta; Magnoliopsida; Vitales; Vitaceae. The record is from RNAcentral.